GGCGAGCUGAGCGGCAGAGCUCAAAUUUGAAUCUGGCCCCUCCGGGGUCCGAGUUGUAAUUUGCAGAGGAUGCUUCGGGUGCGGCCCCUGUCUAAGUGCCCUGGAACGGGCCGUCAGAGAGGGUGAGAAUCCCGUCUUGGGCAGAGUGCCCGUGCCCGUGUGAAGCUCCUUCGACGAGUCGAGUUGUUUGGGAAUGCAGCUCAAAAUGGGUGGUAAAUUUCAUCUAAAGCUAAAUACCGGCCGGAGACCGAUAGCGCACAAGUAGAGUGAUCGAAAGAUGAAAAGCACUUUGAAAAGAGAGUUAAACAGCACGUGAAAUUGUUGAAAGGGAAGCGCUUGCAACCAGACUGGGCCUCGGGGUUCAGCCAGCAUUCGUGCUGGUGUACUUCCCCGGGGCCGGGCCAGCGUCGGUUUGGGCGGCCGGUCAAAGGCCCCAGGAAUGUAUCGUCCUCCGGGACGUCUUAUAGCCUGGGGUGCAAUGCGGCCAGCCUGGACCGAGGAACGCGCUUCGGCACGGACGCUGGCGUAAUGGUCGCAAACGACCCGUCUUGA
RNAcentral lists this ribosomal RNA (552 nucleotides) under Aspergillus sydowii. RNAcentral describes it as "LSU rRNA". It matches the Rfam family "Eukaryotic large subunit ribosomal RNA", at positions 88 to 657 of the family's 3401-position model. Lineage: Eukaryota; Fungi; Ascomycota; Eurotiomycetes; Eurotiales; Aspergillaceae. The record is from RNAcentral.